CCGCUAGUGGCCCUUGUCUCUCCCCAUGAGCUUGUCCCGGGCCGCACGAGAGGACAGAGCCGUCUCGGGCGAGAGCGUCCUCUUCGAGGCUAGUGCCUGGCAUGUGGUUGGUGGCCAGUACUUGCCCGAAGUACGUGCAGGACGAAGAAGCUGUGCGCUGAUCUCGAGGGCCGAGGCCGCCUUUGUGAAAGUCUCGAGCUGCAAGCGACGCGGAGACACGAGGGAGCGCAGCUAACGUGGGGGUGACCCAGGGUUCCGGGCUGCGGUCCAGGUGUCAGUAGGCAGUGAUCGGUGAGCUAGUCAGUGAUCCGGGAGCUAGUCUAAGGGCCUUGAUCUUGUCGCUAAGGAAUUUGGGGUGCGAUGGGUUACCCAGGAGUCUAUUGAAGCCAAUGCAGGGUGAGUUGGGAACUGUGAGUAUUCUUGGUGUGUAGUCGGAGUAUGGACAGGGGACGGUGUGACAGGUUGGGUUUUGGGAGGAGUCAUUGAAUUUGGGAGGAGUGAAAAUAAGCCAUAGUUGUCAUCAGUGUGUGUGUGUAUAGAUAUAUAGAUAUUUUUUUAACUGCCUCUGGUGCCAAAUAUACAGGUGUCGCACUCCUGACAUGUUGGGUGGCAGGUCCGUGUUUGGCAGCUUGUUUCCAUCAGGUGUCUUUGGGAAAGUUCAGUCCUGCCUGGCCGGUGAAGGCACAAGUCCAUUUCUGCCUUCACAGGAUUAGAGUAAAUGUAAACAUGGGCUACUGUC
Long non-coding RNA from Mustela erminea (ermine), 739 nucleotides. RefSeq lists it as uncharacterized. NCBI's taxonomy places the organism in Eukaryota, Metazoa, Chordata, Mammalia, Carnivora, Mustelidae. The transcript has 2 exons. The record is from RefSeq and is a predicted model, not a curated record.